GCUUUACAAGAUUAUUAUACAUUUUUUUGUCAUUAAUUAAAGACAAAAGAACAUAAAAUAUGUCAUAAAGUAUUGAUACAUAAACGACAUUAAAAGAUUUCUGUAUUUGUGUGAUCUAUAUAGUAUAGUUCUUGUAGUGUUUUUAUAUAAUGUAUCAAACAUAUCAUAUUUCUAGUAGUAUAUGCAUUUGAAUUUUUGCAAUAAAAUUAUUAUCAGAAAGUUGUGCAAAGAUGGAAGAUAUACAACAAAGCACUUUAAGAAAUAUUGUAGGUUGCAUCAUGUACUUCUUCCUGAAGAAGCUUCUAAAUCUUGUACAUUUUCAGAAGAAAUUCCUAUAACUCGAUCUCAAGCUCUUAAGAAUAAAUUUUCUAAAAUACAAGUUUAUAAUUCUUGUUUACUUCAAAAUUAUAAAAUCGAAUAUAUAUUUUUAAAGUAAUCGCUAUUUUGGUGAUUACCAAAAACCAAUUGAAAAUUAUUUGAUGGAAAUGUACUUUUGAAUUUUUUUAUGCAAUUGUUUACUUUAUUUCUUAUUUAUAGCGAGAAUAUAUAAUCGUUACCUUUUUAUGUACAGGCCAUCGUAGAAUUAUAACAAAUAAACCUGCUUUAGAUGAGUAUCCUGAUCUUGAACGGCUAUGCAAACUAAAAGAUACAUGUGUUACUUUAAUUAUGUGUAAAUGUUAUUUCUAUAUAAUAGUGCAAAAAAAAAAAUAAAAGAAUAAUAUUCAUUGUUAUUAUAAAUAUAAUUAGCAAGAAAAUUUGUGUAAUUAUAUAAGGAUAAGAUUAUUUAAUGUAAUAACUAUGAUAUGUAGUACAUGCUCAAAUGAGCAUGCCAUGCAAGCAAUAACAAUUUUACUGAUGAAAUGAAAGGAACAGUCCCUUUAAAUAAAUCACCCGGUUAUUCUAAAUUAUCAAUUCUUCCAUUUGAAGGUAUUUUAAAUGAUAAAGAGAUU
Vespa mandarinia (Asian giant hornet) is the source of this 950-nucleotide long non-coding RNA. NCBI's taxonomy places the organism in Eukaryota, Metazoa, Arthropoda, Insecta, Hymenoptera, Vespidae. The record is from RefSeq and is a predicted model, not a curated record.